This 1158-nucleotide ribosomal RNA is filed under the name Helicobacter bilis. RNAcentral describes it as "bacterial SSU rRNA". It matches the Rfam family "Bacterial small subunit ribosomal RNA", at positions 289 to 1468 of the family's 1533-position model. Lineage: Bacteria; Pseudomonadati; Campylobacterota; Epsilonproteobacteria; Campylobacterales; Helicobacteraceae. The record is from RNAcentral.
GGCCUGAGAGGGUGAWCGGACACACUGGAACUGAGACACGGUCCAGACUCCUACGGGAGGCAGCAGUAGGGAAUAUUGCUCAAUGGGGGAAACCCUGAAGCAGCAACGCCGCGUGGAGGAUGAAGGUUUUAGGAUUGUAAACUCCUUUUGUAAGAGAAGAUUAUGACGGUAUCUUACGAAUAAGCACCGGCUAACUCCGUGCCAGCAGCCGCGGUAAUACGGAGGGUGCAAGCGUUACUCGGAAUCACUGGGCGUAAAGAGCGCGUAGGCGGGAKAGUAAGUCAGAUGUGAAAUCCUGUAGCUUAACYACAGAACUGCAUUUGAAACUACUAUUCUAGAGUAUGGGAGAGGUAGGUGGAAUUCUUGGUGUAGGGGUAAAAUCCGUAGAGAUCAAGAGGAAUACUCAUUGCGAAGGCGACCUGCUGGAACAUUACUGACGCUGAUGCGCGAAAGCGUGGGGAGCAAACAGGAUUAGAUACCCUGGUAGUCCACGCCCUAAACGAUGAAUGCUAGUUGUUGCCCUGCUUGUCAGGGCAGUAAUGCAGCUAACGCAUUAAGCAUUCCGCCUGGGGAGUACGGUCGCAAGAUUAAAACUCAAAGGAAUAGACGGGGACCCGCACAAGCGGUGGAGCAUGUGGUUUAAUUCGAGGAUACGCGAAGAACCUUACCUAGGCUUGACAUUGAUAGAAUCCGCUAGAGAUAGUGGAGUGCUGGCUUGCCAGAGCUUGAAAACAGGUGCUGCACGGCUGUCGUCAGCUCGUGUCGUGAGAUGUUGGGUUAAGUCCCGCAACGAACGCAACCCUCGUCCUUAGUUGCUAGCAGUUCGGCUGAGCACUCUAAGGAGACUGCCUUCGUAAGGAGGAGGAAGGUGAGGACGACGUCAAGUCAUCAUGGCCCUUACGCCUAGGGCUACACACGUGCUACAAUGGGACAUACAAARAGAUGCAAUACCGCGAGGUGGAGCAAAUCUCWAAAAUGUCUCUCAGUUCGGAUUGUAGUCUGCAACUCGACUACAUAAAGCUGGAAUCGCUAGUAAUCGYRAAUCAGCAAUGUYRCGGUGAAUACGUUCCCGGGUCUUGUACUCACCGCCCGUCACACCAUGGGAGUUGUAUUCGCCUUAAGUCGGGAUACUAAAUUGGUUACCGYCCACGGCGGAUG